Molecule: ribosomal RNA, 440 nt
Filed under: uncultured bacterium
Lineage: Bacteria
Description: partial 16S ribosomal RNA
Rfam family: Bacterial small subunit ribosomal RNA
Source: RNAcentral
CCUACGGUAGGCAGCAGUGGGGAAUAAUGCACAAUGGGGGAAACCCUGAUGCAGCGACGCCGCGUGAGUGAAGAAGUAUCUCGGUACGUAAAGCUCUAUCAGCAGGGAAGAUAAUGACGGUACAUGACCAAGAAGCCACGGCUAACUACGUGACAGCAGCCGCGGUAAUACGUAGGGGGCAAGCGUUAUCCGGAUUUACUGGGUGUAAAGGGAGCGUAGACGGCAGCACAAGUCUGGAGUGAACUCCCGGGGCUUAACCCCGGAACUGCUUUGGAAACUGUGCGGCGGGAGGGCAGGAGGGGUAAGCGGAAUUCCUAGUGUAGCGGUGAAAUGCGUAGAUAUUAGGAGGAACACCGGUGGCGAAGGCGGCUUACUGGACUGUAACUGACGUUGAGGCUCGAAAGCGUGGGGAGCAAACAGGAUUAGAUACCCUGGUAGUC